Molecule: small nuclear RNA, 104 nt
Organism: Otolemur garnettii (small-eared galago)
Lineage: Eukaryota; Metazoa; Chordata; Mammalia; Primates; Galagidae
Source: Ensembl
GUGCUCACUUUGGCAGCACACAUACUAAAAUUGGAGCAAUGCAGAGAUUAGCAUGGCCCCUGGGCAAGGAUAACAUGGAAAUUCGUGAAGCCUUCUCUAAGAAA